This 790-nucleotide ribosomal RNA is filed under the name uncultured Nitrososphaerota archaeon. RNAcentral describes it as "bacterial SSU rRNA". It matches the Rfam family "Archaeal small subunit ribosomal RNA", at positions 130 to 922 of the family's 1478-position model. The record is from RNAcentral. Lineage: Archaea; Thermoproteati; Nitrososphaerota.
CCUCGGGAAACUGAGAAUAAUGCCGAUAGAACAUAAUGCCUGGAACAGUUUAUGUUCCAAAUGAUUUAUCGCCGUAGGAUGGGACUGCGGCCUAUCAGUUUGUUGCAGAGGUAAUGGCCCACCAAGACUAUUACAGGUACGGGCUCUGAGAGGAGUAGCCCGGAGAUGGGUACUGAGACACGGACCCAGGCCCUAUGGGGCGCAGCAGGCGAGAAAACUUUGCAAUGUGCGAAAGCACGACAAGGUUAAUCCGAGUGGUUUCUGCUAAAGAAACCUUUUGUCAGUCCUAGAAACACUGAUGAAUAAGGGGUGGGCAAGUUCUGGUGUCAGCCGCCGCGGUAAAACCAGCACCUCAAGUGGUCAGGAUGAUUAUUGGGCCUAAAGCAUCCGUAGCCGGCUCUGUAAGUUUUCGGUUAAAUCUGUACGCUCAACGUACAGGCUGCCGGGAAUACUGCAAAGCUAGGGAGUGGGAGAGGUAGACGGUACUCGGUAGGAAGGGGUAAAAUCCUUUGAUCUAUUGAUGACCACCUGUGGCGAAGGCGGUCUACCAGAACACGUCCGACGGUGAGGGAUGAAAGCUGGGGGAGCAAACCGGAUUAGAUACCCGGGUAGUCCCAGCUGUAAACUAUGCAAACUCAGUGAUGCAUUGGCUUGUGGCCAAUGCAGUGCUGCAGGGAAGCCGUUAAGUUUGCCGCCUGGGAAGUACGUACGCAAGUAUGAAACUUAAAGGAAUUGGCGGGGGAGCACCACAAGGGGUGAAGCCUGCGGUUCAAUUGGAGUCAACGCCGGG